This 5163-nucleotide long non-coding RNA is filed under the name Sus scrofa (pig). RNAcentral's name for it is "lncRNA (ENSSSCG00065071088.1)". The record is from RNAcentral. Lineage: Eukaryota; Metazoa; Chordata; Mammalia; Artiodactyla; Suidae.
UAAAGCUUGGCAACUACUAAUCCAUUCUACAUGUUUAUAAUUAUGUUAUUUCAAGAAUGAUAUAAAUGGAAUCAUACAUUGUGUAACCUGGUGAUGUUAUCUCUUUCAUUCAGUAUAAUGCCCUUAAUAUCAAACCAAGUUGUUAGUGUUUUCAAUAAUGGAUUCUUUUAUAUUGUUGAGUAGUGUGGUUUUUAGGUACUACAGGUUGUUUAGCUGUUUACUCAUUACAAAGUAUCUAAGUUCUUUCUAAUUUUUGACUAUUAAAAAUAAAGCCACUUUCAACAUUCAUGUAGCAGGUUUUUGUGUGAACAUAACUUUCAUUUUGGGGAUAAAUGUCCAAGAGAACAAUUGUUAGUUUAAAUAGUAAGGAAAUGCUUAAUUUGAGAAGAAACUUCCAAACUAUUUUUUCAGAGUACCUAUACUAUUUUACAUUCCUACCAGCAAUGUGUCAGUAACCUAGUUUCUCUGCAUCCUCCUCAGCAUUUGAUGUUAUUCCCUUUUAAAAAUUCUUUAAUUUUAGCUGUUCUAAUAGCAGUAUAGUGAUAAACUAUUGUGGCUCAGAUUUUCAUUUCCCCAGUGUCUAAUGAUAUCAAACAUCUUUUCAUGUGCUUAUUUCUAGCUGUAUAUCCUGUUAGGUGAAAUGUCUCUUCAUGUCUAUUGCCUAUUUUCUAACUGAUUGUACUGUUGAGCUUUGAGAGUUCUUUAUUCUAGAUACAAGUCCUUUGUCAGGUAAGUUUUCUCAAUUUGUAGCUUUGCUAUAUACCCUGUUACCAGGGUCUUUUGUAGAACAUAGUUUUUAAUUUUGAAGUCCAGUGUGUAUCAGUUUUUCCUUUUAUGAUUAUUCUUUUGGUGUCAAACAUAAGAAUUCUUUGCCUACUCCUAAGUUCCAAAGAUUUUCUUCUUUGUCAUUUUAUAAAAGUUUUAUAGUUUUAUAUUUUGCAUUUAAGUCCAUGAUUCCAUGUAUACGAUGUGAAGUUCAGGUCAAGGUUCUUGUAUUUUUUUCCUGUCUUUAGAUACAUAAUUUCUCUAGCACCAUUUGUUGAAAAAGCUAUACUUCUUUGAUUAAAUUGAUUUUUAAUCUUUGUCAACAUCGCUUGAAUAUAUUUGUGUGGGACAGUUUCUAGGUUCUAUUUUCUUUCUUUCUUUUUUUUUUUAAUUGUCUUUUUGUCUUUUCUAGGGCCACACCUGCGGCAUAUGGAGGUUCCCAGGCUAGGGGUCUAAUCAGAGCUAUAGCUGCUGGCCUACACCAGAGCCACAGCAACGUGGGAUCUGAGCCAUGUUUGCGACGUACACCACAGCUCAUGGCAACACUGGAUCCUUAACCCACUGAGCAAGGCCAGGGAUCGAACCCGCAACCUCAUGGUUCCUAGUCAGACUCCUUAACCACUGGGCCAUGAUGGGAACACCAGAUUCUCUUUUCUGUUCUGUUGUCUGUCCUUCUACCAGCAAUGCAUGGUCCUGAGUACUGGAGCUCUGUAGUUUGACUUAACAUUGGGUAGAGUGAUUCCUACUGAAUUCUUCCUUUAAAAAAUUAUUUUAGUAAUGGUAGGCCCUUUGCUUUUUCAUAUACUUUGUAGAAUAUGAUUAUCUAUAUUUACAAAAAUCUUUUCUAGAAUUUUGAGGGAAAUUGGAUUAAACUUACAGAUCAAUUUCAGGAGAAUCAACACCUUUACUACAUUGCAUCUUCAAAAAUAUGAACACAAUAUAUGUUUCUAUUUAUGUAGUCUUUGAUUUCUUUCAGCAGCAUUCCAUAUUCAGUAUACAGAUCCCGUACAUUGUUUGUUUCAUGCCAAAUUAUUUAAUUUUCUUUGAAGCAAAUAUAAAAAUGAUAUUAUGGCUUAAGCUUUGGUUUCCACAUGCUUGUCAUUAGUAUAUAGAAAUAUGAGUGAUUUGUGUGUGUGUGUGUUGAUCUCAUAUCUUGCAGCCUUGCUAAACCAACUUCAUAGGUCUAGGAGUUUUUUUAAUCAAUUCCUUGGGAUUUUCUGCAGAAAAUCAUGUCAUUUGCAAAUAGUAUAGCCUUGGUUUAGAAGCUUAUAUGCCUGUGCUUUUCAUUUAUGGAAAAUAUUAGUUCUUUUUGGAAUUAUUCCCUACCAUAUGUUGUUUUCUAUAAUUUAGACUGGAUCAAUGAUUUUCUAAAAUAACUCUUAUGUAAAUAGUUCCUAAAGUGUGGUUGGGCACUCUUAGGAAUCUUUUGAGACAUUUUGAGUGUGUCCACAGAGUCAAAAUUUUGUUCAAAAUUAUGUUAGGACCUUACUUGCCAUUUUCACUUUUGUUCCUUCAUGAGCCUGCAGUGGAAUAUUCCAGAGGCUACAUGAUAUAUGAUAUUGCACAGAUUUAGGAAUCCAGCAGUCUUCCAUGAUGUAAGACAUUGAAGAUAUUUAUAAAAGUGCAAAAUAAUGGCACUCACUAAUUUUUUUGUUUGAAAAAUAUAGUUAUUUUUGCAGAUUUAUGUAAACAUAAAUGUAUUUUAACAUGAAUGCAUUUAUUUUAAAAAUGAAUUAUUAAAUAUGUCUAAAUUUCCUCAGAAAGUAAGAUAAUUUCUAAUAUGAAAAUAUUGAUAGAUAUAACUCAUAAAAACUCUUUGAGGUCUUUAAUGAUUUUUUAAAGUUUGAGGUUCUAAAAUUAAAAAAAAUUGAGAAUCUCUAAUCAAUCCUAUUUAAAUAAAUUAUCUGGGUUACCAGUUUAUCAUCUAACAGUGUCUAGUAUUAAAUAAAUAAAGGUUAAUUUUAGGAAAAUAUCUUUAUCUUGAAAGUUUGUUUAUGGCAUAAAAAGCAUUCUGUCAGCUUUACAACUCUUUCUUUAUAUAGAAUCCAAUAUUUAAGAGUGAGAAAGUCCAAUAUUUAAGAGUGAGAACAACAAAAUUGUUCUUGUUGAUAGGGCUCUGUCCUCACACCACAGGGGGCACAGCAGAUCACCUUCAAGGGAUCCUUUGAGCAUAAUGUGAAAAUAGUAGUUGUAGAGAAUUAAUUGCCCAAUAAUGUAAACAAGGAAUGGGUUGCUCUGUGUUGUCAGCACUGGACCCUUAAAUCUAGAAUUGUGUUUACUGGCUGACACAGAAUAGGGAUCAAUAAAUAUGUCCCGGGAAUGACUGACAACUGGGAUGUAGACAUAACUUCAGGUCAGUUUUGAAAUAGUAGUCACUGGCAAGAGCUAGGGACAGAAAUACCCAGAGUUAGAGUGAUCAGUGAGGGAAGAUAGAAAAAGGAAGGGUUAUGGGGCAGGUAGGGUCAUGUCAGGAGGGUCUUAGAAGAAGUGCAUGAAUAGUGGAGGAUGGGUCUUGGAGGGAGAGGAUAGAGAGAAAGGGAAGUAGGUGGAAGAGGGAGAGAACCAGGAUUAUGAGGUAGGUAAUUGGCAGCCCCAUCAGCUCCAGCCAUUAUUUGAAUUCAGUACAUGGAUUUUGUCAUCAGAGGCAAGAGAAACAGAUACACCUCCCAACUCCUCCUUCACCCACUUUUCCAAAUCCUCCUGCUCCUCAAUUUGACAGGCCCAUCCAGACCUGGGGGUAGGGAACAAAGGGAGAUAACAGGACUGGGUUUAAGCAAGAGGGGUGAGAAGAGGGGGGAACAAGGAAGUAGUGGUUGGUAAUGAGAUGGGAGUGGUGAUUGCAAUAAGGAGAGGUCAGAAAUGAAAUAAAAAAAAAAAAAAGAAAAGAAAUGAAAUAAGAGUAGCCAAACAUCCUCCUCUGAACUAUGAGCCCAAAAAGUUGGGUUCUUGGCUCCCAUCUUCUCUGUGGCCAGGGGUUGGCCAUGGCCCCUUCUGAACUUCUAUAAAACAAGGAAAGGUAGAUGAGGCUCCAUAAGCCCUGCACUAUGACGUCUCUUUAGGCUGUGGGUAGAGAUUCUUUAGGAUAUAUCUCUGUAUUUUGAAGAAAGAUUCCACAGGUGUUUGUUGAAUGAAUGAGUGAUGGAUCAAAUUCCUUCAUGUGGCUUCCCAUCAUUUUUAAGAUCAAAUUCAGCCUCUCACCAUGGUCAAAAAUACCUCCCCCCCAGACUUGUUCCCAUCUCCUAGGCCACUCAUCUCUAGCCACACUUCCCUUCUUGCUGUUCUUUUAACAAGCCAGGAUCAUACUACUUCAGUACCUAAAGGCCUUUCCACUUGUCGUUUAUUCUGCCUGACUGUACCUUUUUAGCUUUCAAGUUUUGUGUCACCUCAGAAAGACCUUCACAGACUCCCUUAUCUGAAGUGGCCAGAGUAAUUAUCGUUUUGUUUUGUGCCUCCUCCAGUUAUGGCAUGGCAAACUUUCCCUGUAAAGGGCCUAGGGGAGCAAAAAAAGGAAAAAGAAAUAAUAGUCAUUGAAGUGAAAUUUUAUCAACAGGAAAAAAAAAAGAAGUUUAUUUCCAUGGGGUCUUAACCACUUAAUGUAUUUCACAUCUAAAUAUAUUCAGACAAAUAUCUGAGUUACUCAUAAUUGAUAAAUGAAUAUAUGAGAAAACUUAGGCAAGAAGAAGUUACUGUUGAUGCUGUUUUUCUGGGAGAGAAGGGAAAUAUAUGAAAGGUAAGAGGAAGGCUGAUUUAAUUGUAGAAGGUAAAGAAAAUGACCAGUCAGGAACAGUUUUUAACAGCAUUCUCCUUGUUACAUGAAUUUUGCCAAAUUGUUAUCACUUUAAAUUUUCUCACUCAGACAGUUGAGCACAUCCAAGUGCUUAGUGAUGAUGUCUGCAGAGUAAUGUUAUAAACAUAGGACUAUCCACCAGACUAGAUCAUCAUUGAAAGAAUCAUGUGAUUUUCCUGAGGCUAUUCUAGAAAGAAAAAGAUGAUUAUAUUAACAGAUGUGCGAAUUUUUAAAAAAAAAAUUUGAUGCAGUAGUUUAAGGCUGUUGCUUAUUAAGGCAGGAGGCCUUCUGCACACCCUGGCUUGCCACAAUGCUGAUUCUUCUGGGGUUCCAUGCUGUGACAUUAGCCUUUGUUGGCUGCGAUGGGAGUGAUUUCCAGUAGCUUUCCUUAUCUCAUGACAAGGCUAAAUGCAAACAAACUAGGCCACCAUGCCACCUAGGACCCUGUUUCUCACAGUCAGCAGGAAACACAUUCUUUACAAGAUUUCUAUUUUUACUUAUUAAAAAAUGUGGGCCUGUUUGUUGUAUCAUCAUUAAAACAGAGGAUAAGGAAAAUUUGAUGGAUAACUUCCUGAUUAAAAUAAAUGUCUUAAAAAAAAAAAAAAAAAAAA